This is a long non-coding RNA of Lathyrus oleraceus (garden pea), 197 nucleotides long. RefSeq lists it as uncharacterized. The transcript has 3 exons. The record is from RefSeq and is a predicted model, not a curated record. NCBI's taxonomy places the organism in Eukaryota, Viridiplantae, Streptophyta, Magnoliopsida, Fabales, Fabaceae.
AGUAAAUAUCCGGGUUUGAAGAAGACGGUUGACACGGCAAUAAUAAAAUUUAGAUCGAAAAAGAAUUACCGCAUUAGGAAGGACAUUACCUGGGUCAGAGUUCAGUGUCCUCAGCAAAAUAAUUCGGUCGAUUGCGGAUUUUUUGUAUUGAAAUUUAUGAGAGAUAUCAUUGCGUUGAAUCGUAUAGACAUCCCAAA